UUCAGAAGAGCAAAGAGCCGAACCGGGAAACCGAACUGGAGACUCCAACUAGGGUCGGACCACCGAAUCGGAGGGCCGUGGCCGCCGAUAGGAGGCGGUGGGGGAGUCGCACUGAACUGUUGGAGGCUCAUCCGGGACGUGAUGCUGGCCAUCCGGUCCGUCCUCCGCGACGCCAUGGCCGAUUUCUCCAUCCUUUACCGGAUCAGAAGCCUUCGGAGCCUACUCAAGUUCCUCAGAUCCAGCGUCGGCUCCGAUGAUUCCCAUUCGCCUAUUCCUCCGCUCUCCAACCAUUCCCCAACUGCGAGCAUUGUAAGGGAUGUCAUGCAAUCGCGAAAGUCAUAGAUCUUAAUUAAGGAUGAGCAAGCGGAUGGCGGCGUGUAAGGUGGUUUAUGGGAGUAGAAGGGAAAGAAUUCUUUCAGGGUGUCGUCGAUGAAUUCACUUAGAAUGCAACACGGUGAGGGACUUAAUUGGUGGGUUGAGUGUCUCUUGCAUUGUAUCAGUUGGUGAAGGUCAGCGCUGACCGAUCAAGUCAUGGCUGUAAGGAUGAAAUCUAACACACUGGUUUAAUCUCAAGUAUCGAAAAUGAGUUAAAACCUUA
Musa acuminata AAA Group (dessert banana) is the source of this 598-nucleotide long non-coding RNA. RefSeq lists it as uncharacterized. The transcript has 3 exons. NCBI's taxonomy places the organism in Eukaryota, Viridiplantae, Streptophyta, Magnoliopsida, Zingiberales, Musaceae. The record is from RefSeq and is a predicted model, not a curated record.